UUUCCCCAAAUCGUAAACCCUUAUUAUUUUCCCCAAUUCUUCCGCGAAAUCUCCAUCUCCAAUCUGAUCGUCUUCCAUCUCCAAUCCGACCAUCUUCCGGCCUCGUCACCAUUCGCCCCUACUCCUGGCCGUCUGUUCACUCUGGCGUGGCCAUCUAUUCGCUCCGAUGUGUCCAUCGUUUUCGUCUUCUCCGGCGCUGCCAUUCCUUCUCUCUUUGUCUCUCUCUUUGUGAAUAUUGUGUAUUUUCCUUUCAUAAACAUUCCAACAAUCCAAUGUCUUUAUACAUGAGUUUCAACUACCCCUCUUCUUCUUACCCAAGUCAGAAGAAGAAGGAGGGGUGAGUUUUUUUUCUUUUUUUCAUGGUGGAAGUUUGAAUUUUGAAGGUGGGUGUUCAAAUGUUGCUUCAUUAUCCUAAGUACACGAAGAGGGAUUAUGAGAAAAUGGGGGAAGGUAAGUUGAAUUUGCUUCUAAAACAAUAUGGACUCUGUUUUGAUGGUACCCUUAAGGGAAAAGAGCAUUUGCUAUUGGGAUGUUCUUAUGGCCUGAACAACUUUGAAUUUACCCACCAUGUGUUUGAUGAAAUUCCUAAAAAAAAAAAAACUAUUAAAUUUUUAUGAACUCCAACUCUGCCUUGGUCUUGAUUGUCACAUCUUAUGUUUCUAUGAAUGUUUCUUAGUGUGCUGAGAAUGGUUUUUCAGGAUUCAAUAUUUAACAAAAACGUCUACAUGCUAGCAAGGUUUGAUUUUCUCCAUUUUUCUUUGAAUUGGUGCUUAUCUAGUGAUUUUAAGAUAUGAUUUGGAGUAGUUGUGUAAAUGACUGAUAAUUUGUGGGGAUUUUCACUUAAUACAUUUAGGAUUUUCGUUAGGUUUUAUCUUGUUGUACUGUGGACGGAGGAAGAACAUAAGUUUUUCUUGUUGGGAUUACAACAAGAUUUCUUGAUUGAUAGGAUUUUGGAAUCAUGCAGAAAAGUUGAAGUAUUCUCUUAUUUAUUUCUUGAAAUCUUCUAAAAAAGAACAUCAUCAAUCAAUUUUAUCUUGAAACUUAAACAAGAUUUUUUUUUUGUGAGAUUAUGAGAAAAUAUGAUAUUAGUUUGUGCUUGUAAGGUGUUUGACGAUAUGUGUCUGAAGCUUUAAAAGUUUUUUUCUUUUUCUUUUGCAUUGUGCGAGUGUGUUCUAUGAUCUGAUUGUUACACACACUGAAGCCUAUUUUUAACUUAGUAUAUUAGACUUGUUGUAAUGAAGUUUAGUUUGGCAAUUGGCAAUUCACCAUUUAGAAAAUUGUUUGAUUUGUUUUUAUUGUGCUAGUUGCUGUCAUUUUGCAGUUUGCACAAGUAUUUGUAGCUAAGUCAUGUCAAUUCAUCUAUAUGGUGCAUAAUGGUUUUUUAGUGUACACUUUCCACCCCUCUUUCCUCCUUUUGGAUAGAAGUUUCUCAAAAUGUUCAAUCUCGUGAAUUAAUUGUUUCCCUGUUUUCAUAGGCAGGAAGCGUGGAUGUUCAAUUAUAUAUACGUUUGUUUAGGAGCUAUUUUUGAUACCCUAAAAUCAUUUGAUUCAUAGACCUAUUAUCUUUUAUGCUAUGAGUUGGUCUAAAUGUAUAUUUUGUUGUCUCCAUUAGACUGAGGAUCCAUUAUCUUUUCAUUGUAGAUAAUAUAUGGGUCCUCGAAAAUGUUCUGCUCAGUUUUCCUGAUAAUUUAUGUUCCAGAUUUAUGAUGGAAUGAUUAUUGGAGAACAUUCUAGGGAAUCAAAUCUAGAUGUUAAUCUUGUAAGAACUAAAGAAAACUUACCAAUAUCCGUUUUGCUUGCAAAGAUGAAAACAUGAAGCUAUCUCCACCUCGACUUAGAUGAGUCUUGAAGAAGCGAAAUGAUACGUUGCAUCUGAUAAACUUAUUAAGUUCAAAGAAAGUGUUAAACAAUUUGCUCAAGAUAACAUUGCUCCCCAUGCCACAAAAAUUGAUCAACCCAACUCUUUUCCAAAUGUCAGUUGGAAGUCCUUCUCUAUAUGUUUAAUGAGUUGCUAUAUGAUUUAACUAAAAUGUAUUGUAUUGUAGGAUGUUAACUUGUGGAAGCUCAUUCGGGACUUCGAUCUCCAUGGAAUUAGAACAUCAGAUUACUUAUUUAUAUCCAGGUAAAUUUUCUAAAGAGCAAUGAUACAAGAGUUGUAAUUUGUAAAAAGUUUCAAUAUUGUAGACCAAGUGGAUGUUACGGUGAUGCUGUUAUUCUACAUUUGUGCUCUGCUAUGUAGUUGUUUCUCUUAUCGACGCAUGUAGUGAUAGGUUCAACUGGAGUCAACAACUUCAUAAGUUUACUUUCCAAGAACAUUUUCAGAGACGAACAUUCUCGGUUGGUCGUUUAUGCUUCUGCAGAAAAUCUUGUUAGAUGUAUUCUAAUGCUAUUUAAAAUAUUUUUUGAUUAAGGGUUGGGAUUCCGUACUUGUAAAUUGUUGACACUUGAUUGGA
RNA transcript from Cucumis sativus (cucumber), 2453 nucleotides. It is a transcript of the gene named callose synthase 5-like, with no coding region annotated. The transcript is spliced from 6 exons. Lineage: Eukaryota; Viridiplantae; Streptophyta; Magnoliopsida; Cucurbitales; Cucurbitaceae. The record is from RefSeq and is a predicted model, not a curated record.